AGAGUUUGAUCCUGGCUCAGGAUGAACGCUAGCGAUAGGCCUAACACAUGCAAGUCGAGGGGCAGCACAUGAAGUAGCAAUACGGAUGGUGGCGACCGGCGCACGGGUGAGUAACGCGUAUGCAACCUGCCUACAACAGGGGAAUAACCCGUUGAAAGACGGACUAAUACCCCAUAACACAGGGAUCCCGCAUGGGAAUAUUUGUUAAAGAUUAAUCGGUUGUAGAUGGGCAUGCGUUCCAUUAGCUUGUUGGUGAGGUAACGGCUCACCAAGGCAACGAUGGAUAGGGGAACUGAGAGGUUUAUCCCCCACACUGGUACUGAGACACGGACCAGACUCCUACGGGAGGCAGCAGUGAGGAAUAUUGGUCAAUGGACGCAAGUCUGAACCAGCCACGUCGCGUGAAGGAAGACGGCCCUACGGGUUGUAAACUUCUUUUGUAAGGGAAUAAAGUGUAGUACGUGUACUAUUUUGCAUGUACCUUACGAAUAAGGAUCGGCUAACUCCGUGCCAGCAGCCGCGGUAAUACGGAGGAUCCGAGCGUUAUCCGGAUUUAUUGGGUUUAAAGGGUGCGCAGGCGGGAGAUUAAGUCGGCGGUGAAAUUUUGCAGCUCAACUGUAAAAGUGCCUUCGAAACUGGUUUCCUUGAGUGUGGAUGAAGUAGGCGGAAUUUGUGGUGUAGCGGUGAAAUGCAUAGAUAUCACGAGGAACUCCGAUUGCGCAGGCAGCUUACUAAACCAUAACUGACGCUCANGCACGAANGCGUGGGGAUCAAACAGGAUUAGAUACCCUGNNAGUCCACGCAGUAAACGAUGAUUACUAGCUGUUUGCGAUACAAUGUAAGCGGCUGAGCGAAAGCGUUAAGUAAUCCACCUGGGGANUACGCUCGCANAAUGA
This 896-nucleotide ribosomal RNA is filed under the name uncultured bacterium. RNAcentral's name for it is "bacterial SSU rRNA". It matches the Rfam family "Bacterial small subunit ribosomal RNA", at positions 8 to 897 of the family's 1533-position model. The record is from RNAcentral.